RNAcentral lists this ribosomal RNA (537 nucleotides) under uncultured bacterium. RNAcentral's name for it is "bacterial SSU rRNA". It matches the Rfam family "Bacterial small subunit ribosomal RNA", at positions 8 to 523 of the family's 1533-position model. The record is from RNAcentral.
AGAGUUUGAUCCUGGCUCAGAACGAACGCUGGCGGCGUGCUUAACACAUGCAAGUCGAACGGGAUCCAGAGCUUGCUCUGGUGAGAGUGGCGCACGGGUGAGUAACGCGUGGAUAACCUGCCCUGGUAUCCGGAAUAACAUCUCGAAAGGGGUGCUAAUACCGGAUAAGCCUACGGAGCCCUCGGUCUCUGCAGGAAAAGGUGGCUUCUAUUUAUAAGCUACCGUAUCAGGAUGGGUCCGCGUACCAUUAGCUAGUUGGUGGGGUAAUGGCCUACCAAGGCGACGAUGGUUAGCUGGUCUGAGAGGAUGAUCAGCCACACUGGAACUGAGACACGGUCCAGACUCCUACGGGAGGCAGCAGUGGGGAAUUUUGCGCAAUGGGGGAAACCCUGACGCAGCAACGCCGCGUGAGUGAUGAAGGCUUUCGGGUCGUAAAGCUCUGUCAGAGGGGAAGAAAUGAGAUUGGCUAAUAUCCAAUUUUCUUGACGGUACCCUCAAAGGAAGCACCGGCUAACUCCGUGCCAGCAGCCGCGGUAA